CUAAGAAUAUUCCGCAAUGGACGGAAGUCUGACGGAGCGACGCCGCGUGGAUGACGAAGGCCGAAAGGUUGUAAAGUUCUUUUGCUGGGGAAGAAUAACCGCAGGAGGGAAAUGCCUGUGGGAUGACAAGAACCGGCGAAUAAGCCCCGGCCAACUACGUGCCAGCAGCCGCGGUAACACGUAGGGGGGCGAGCGUUGUUCGGAAUUACUGGGCGUAAAGGGCAUGUAGGCGGCUUGGAAAGCCUGGCGUGAAAGUCUGCAGCUUAACUGCAGGGGUGCGCUGGGAACUGCUGAGCUUGAGUGACGGAGAGGGAGCUGGAAUUCCUGGUGUAGGGGGUGAAAUCUGUAGAUAUCAGGAAGAACACCGAUGGCGAAGGCAAGCUCCUGGCCGAUGACUGACGCUGAGGUGCGAAAGUGUGGGGGAUCAAACAGGAUUAGAUACCCUGGUAGUCCACACAGUCAACGAUGUGCACUAGGUGCUGGGGCGGUAGCUUCGGUGCCGGAGCGAACGUGGUAAGUGCACCGCCU
Molecule: ribosomal RNA, 528 nt
Filed under: uncultured bacterium
Lineage: Bacteria
Description: partial 16S ribosomal RNA
Rfam family: Bacterial small subunit ribosomal RNA
Source: RNAcentral